Molecule: transfer RNA, 85 nt
Filed under: Candidatus Shapirobacteria bacterium CG_4_10_14_0_8_um_filter_39_15
Lineage: Bacteria; Candidatus Shapironibacteriota
Also listed under: 1 other name
Description: tRNA-Leu
Rfam family: tRNA
About the family: Transfer RNA (tRNA) molecules are approximately 80 nucleotides in length. Their secondary structure includes four short double-helical elements and three loops (D, anti-codon, and T loops).
Source: RNAcentral
GCCAAUGUGGUGAAAUUGGUAAACACGCACGACUCAAAAUCGUGUGCCGCAAGGCUUGGGAGUUCGAGUCUCCCCUUUGGCACAA